RNAcentral lists this ribosomal RNA (253 nucleotides) under uncultured bacterium. RNAcentral describes it as "partial 16S ribosomal RNA". It matches the Rfam family "Bacterial small subunit ribosomal RNA", at positions 524 to 776 of the family's 1533-position model. The record is from RNAcentral.
UACGGGGGGGGCAAGCGUUGUUCGGAAUUACUGGGCGUAAAGGGCUCGUAGGUGGCCAACUAAGUCAGACGUGAAAUCCCUCGGCUUAACCGGGGAACUGCGUCUGAUACUGGAUGGCUAGAGUUUGGGAGAGGGAUGCGGAAUUCCGGGUGUAGCGGUGAAAUGCGUAGAUAUCUGGAGGAACACCGGUGGCGAAGGCGGCAUCCUGGACCAACACUGACGCUGAGGAGCGAAAGCCAGGGGAGCAAACGGG